AAAGUCUGGAGACGCAUUCCCGGCCCGUUAUAGACCUGACCGCCGGCCUCAAGAAAAACACGCACACACAUUCAAGUGGCGACUGCGCCCGACAGCUUUUCACUGACAAUAAACGAGCCAGCUCCGAGACGUGCGAAGACAUGCCAGAUUAACUGAAGGCACAAAACGCCACAUGCUGAGUCAAACCCGGCAAGAGUCCAAAUUACACACCCGCACGCUUUUGGAGUUGGACCUCGGAGAGCUGCCAGAUCCAUUUCAUGGAUUUUGGGCCCCGUUUAUUCAGGAACUAUUUUGGCCUUCUUCACAUUUAUUUUAUGUAAUUCCACUGUUGUCCACUAGAUGGUGAAAGACUAUUUUGUCUGGCUGUGUAAAUUUGAAAAAUGAUUAAAAACAGCAAGUUGAGUAUUUCUGAAGAUGAAGAAGGGAAAUCCUCUUCAGUCCUGCUAUUUGUGUAUACAAGUGGCAACCUGUAUAGGUUCAUUUUGUAAUGUUUAUCUCUUGCUCUUUCUCAAUACGUGUCCAAAUUAUCUUCAAAGUUUUUUCAAAGAAGAAGCGGGGUAGAUGCUUUCAAAACUGAGUCGGAGGCACAUACCAAGAGGCCGUCAGGCCGCAUCACCUGUGACGGAUGCAAACGACAGCUCAGACCGACUGUUCUGGACCUUCACCCGGAGGAUGUUGGCUCUCACCUAAAUCCAACUUGCUGCAGUUGGAGUUGCUCUCCUCCGUCACGCUGCAUUUGUAGACGUCUCCUUUCCUGUUGCCGGGCUGCCCGUCCCAAGGAGCGCCCACCAGCAUUCUGCACGGUAACCAUUCUCAAGAGAAGCCGAAAAGGGCAUCAUCGGGACCGCCGAAGAUCCGCGGAUGCGUCACGUCAAUGUUGAAGCACUGGCACCAGCCUGCAGAAUUGAGCACAAGCAAGAGAGCUCCCAUCAAGAUUGACCAAACGUGGUUGGGAUGCACAUUCUCUCGAAUUAUUGAGCCAAUAUAACAAAAAUUGAACAAAAAUAACAUCAGACUAGAGCCCGCAAUACUAUAUUUUUGUUUCGGUUUUGGGGAACACGGACUGGCAACCGGGAGGACGAGGGAGCCAGUGAAAAGGAUGAAUAAACAGCGGCGGCAUACAGCUAGCAGGGCUGAAAGGGAGUUCAGUCCAGAGGUUAGGAAGGAAAGGCGUGUUGGAGUGAGGAGAAUAGUGAGCGCCCUGUUGACGGCAGCAUAAGUCUGCCCUUUGAUUCCGUCGCGAGCGGUAAGAUGCUCGUCGGCUGGCUGGCCCGCUCCUGAAAACAUGCCAGGCUUCUUCAUUAGAACCUCACGGUGUCCGUCGGAGCGGAAUUCUCUUCGGUUUUCUUUUGCAUACGUCAAUGAGGGAUUUGACAUGCGUGACUUUUUUUUUUUUAAUCCAGUGUACAUGUGAGCUAAAUUGUACCUAAUGAAGUGUCUGGUAAGCUGACGUCACUUGCGGUUU
Long non-coding RNA from Syngnathus typhle (broad-nosed pipefish), 1465 nucleotides. RefSeq lists it as uncharacterized. The transcript has 3 exons. The record is from RefSeq and is a predicted model, not a curated record. Lineage: Eukaryota; Metazoa; Chordata; Actinopteri; Syngnathiformes; Syngnathidae.